RNAcentral lists this unclassified non-coding RNA (337 nucleotides) under soil metagenome. RNAcentral's name for it is "partial contains 5.8S ribosomal RNA, internal transcribed spacer 2, and large subunit ribosomal RNA". The stretch from base 1 to 120 matches the Rfam family "5.8S ribosomal RNA", at positions 35 to 154 of the family's 154-position model. The record is from RNAcentral.
GAUGAAGAACGUAGCGAAAUGCGAUAAGUAGUGUGAAUUGCAGAAUUCAGUGAAUCAUCGAAUCUUUGAACGCACAUUGCGCCCCUUGGUAUUCCAUGGGGCAUGCCUGUUCGAGCGUCAUUUGUACCUUCAAGCUCUGCUUGGUGUUGGGUGUUUGUCUCGCCUCUGCGUGUAGACUCGCCUCAAAACAAUUGGCAGCCGGCGUAUUGAUUUCGGAGCGCAGUACAUCUCGCGCUUUGCACUCAUAACGACGACGUCCAAAAGUACUUUUUUACACUCUUGACCUCGGUUCAGGUAGGGAUACCCGCUGAACUUAAGCAUAUCAAUAAGCGGAGGA